Molecule: ribosomal RNA, 31 nt
Filed under: Cephalotaxus fortunei var. alpina
Lineage: Eukaryota; Viridiplantae; Streptophyta; Pinopsida; Cupressales; Taxaceae
Description: partial 18S ribosomal RNA
Source: RNAcentral
UUACCGUAGGUGAACCUGUGGUAGGAUCACU